Molecule: long non-coding RNA, 8495 nt
Filed under: Homo sapiens (human)
Lineage: Eukaryota; Metazoa; Chordata; Mammalia; Primates; Hominidae
Description: HSALNT0301889
Source: RNAcentral
AGAAAUUGCUCUAAGACUGUAUUGAGCAUAAUUUAAUUUCUCCUUGAUAAUUCUGAAGGGCACUUCAUGGUAUUGUAGUUCCUGAGCGUCAACAUGGGGAACAUUAAUUACUGUUGCACUGCACACAUGCGGAGUUGCUAAUCAAUGGCAUGGGGGCAGAUAGUUUCUAAGGCUGAUGGGAUGAGAAGAACCAGGCAGAACCAGAAUGUCCUAUAGAUUGUCAGUUGCAUGCUUUUAUUCCUUGCAGAACUCUGGAAGGAAUCCAGUAGAGGCCAUCACGCCCUUAGGUAAAUUUAUUAUGGUAUAAAUUGUAAUCGCAGUGACAGAAAUCUUAAUCAUUUUUUUCCAAUGGCAUAAGGCUUUACAACUUUUUUUAAAAUAUUUUUUUAUUAUACUUUAAGUUUUAGGGUACAUGUGCACAACGUGCAGGUUUGUUACAUAUGCAUACAUGUGCCAUGUUGGUGUGCUGCCCCCAUUAACUCGUCAUUUACAUUAGGUAUAUCUCCUAAUGCUAUCCCUCCCCCCUCCCCCCACCCCACAACAGGCCCCGGUGUGUGAUGUUUCCCUUCCUGUGCCCAAGUGUUCUCAUUGUUCAAUUCCCACCUAUGAGUGAGAACACACGGUGUUUGGUUGUUUGUCCUUGCGAUAGUUUGCUGAGAAUGAUGGUUUCCAACUUCAUCCGUGUCCCUAUAAACGACAUUAACUCAUCCUUUUUUAUGGCUGCAUAGUAUUCCAUGGUGUAUAUGUGCCACAUUUUCUUAAUCCAGUCUAUCAUUGAUGGACAUUUGGGUUGGUUCCAAGUCUUUGCUAUUGUGAGUAGUGCUGCAAUAAACAUGAGUGUGCAUGUGUCUUUAUAGCAGCAUGAUUUAUAGUCAUUUGGGUAUAUACCCAGUAAUGGGAUGGCUGGGUCAAAUGGAAUUUCUAGUUCUAGAUCCCUGAGGAAUCGCCACACUGUCUUCCACAAUGGUCGAACUAGUUUACAGUCCCACCAACAGUGUAAAAGUGUUCCUAUUUCUCCACAUCCUCUCCAGCACCUAUUGUUUCCUGACUUAUUAAUGAUCGCCAUUCUAACUGGUGUGAGAUGGUAUCUCAUUGUGGUUUUGAUUUGCAUUUCUCUGAUGGCCAGUGAUGAUGAGCAUUUUUUCAUGUGUCUGUUGGCUCCAUAAAUGCCUUCUUCUGAGACGUGUCUGUUCAUAUCCUUCGGCCACUUGUUGAUGGGGUUGUUUGUUUCUUGUAAAUUUGUUUGAGUUCUUUGGGCUUUACAACUUUCAAAGUGAAUUGGAUUUUUACCGUAAGCAAAAUAGAACAGAGGGUUUAUCUCAACCAGAAACAAAUGGAGUGUGUAAAAUUCAGUCUCUCUCUUCAGCCCCAUGCUACUGACUUCUGAAUAGCAUUCCAGCUGUAUUUAUCUGGGGCUUGGGAAAUUUUCUUGGUUCCUGGGAAGAAAGUUAACUAAAACAUAUGACAUCUCUGGCAGCAGUCACAAUUUCACACAAAAAGUUUCUUGCAAUAACUUCACAUAUUGCUUCCCCUGGUGGAAUCACUAUCUCUAGGGAAAGCUUGGGUCUAAAAUGACAACUAUAUUGAAUGAAAGUGAGAGCUGAAUGCUAGAUCCACCAGCUUGUAUCUCUCUAGGAGAAAUCUUCAUCUUAAAAUCACUUUUUAUGGAUGAUGUUAUGACAGAGACAAGUCCUAGAUUUUUUUCUUUUCCUGCUUUUAAAACAUAAAAAUUGUAAAACUUCUCAAGUAGCCAGACGUGGUGACGCAUCUGUAGUCCCAGUUACUCAAGAGGCUGAGGCAGGAGGUUUGAGCUCAGAGGUUCAAAUCCAGCUUGGGCAACAUAGUGAGACCCCCCCAACACACACCAAUCUCAAAACAAACAAAAAGCCUUCUCAAGUAAAAAAAUAAGCAAAUACUGUUACUACUCCAGCUACUCAACAGUGCUCCCUGUAGAUGAAAUACUACAGAGUGUUUGCUAUUUACAGGAAAUUGGAGGUGGGGUGGUUACUGGAAAGUGGGUUGGCAGAGAUUGGUGGUUAUGUGAUUUAAUCCUGAAAUAGACUGGUUAUGAGAAUCAAUGUCUUCAAAUUUCAAAUACUGUCUUGCUUUUGCUUUUGUAUAUAUAUACACACAUAUAUACAUAUAAAUAUAUAUACACACACACACACAAAAGCAAAAGCAAAACAGUUAUUAGCUAUCCUUCCUAGAGAUAGCUAGCAAGGACAGCUAAUCAACUCUUUCAACAUUUCAAGAUUAAAGGAUGAGGAUACCACCUGGGUUUUAAUACGGAGAUGGCUCAAGCCCUUUCCACUGCCAUGUAAAAGAUUUUUAGAUCACAUGUGUUGAUCAUUACAGUGAUGAGAUGGUAUUAAAAUGCUUGACAAAUUGGUCUCCAUGGCAGUGCUUGUAGUCCCAGCUACUCAGAGAGGCUGAGGCAGGAGGAUAAAGUGAGCCCAGGAGUUCGAGUCCAGCCUGGGCAGCAAAGCGAGCUCCUGUCUCUAAAACAAAAUACAGACUUGACAAACACCUACUGAAGGCAAUAUGAUCAUUACUUACAGAAAGGACAGGAUCAGAGCUAGGAGAGUGAAGGACUAGAUUUAUGAAGCUUCAGUCCCUUCUUUACGGGCACUGAAGAGAAACAGUUCAAGUCCUCCAGUUGUCCCAUAGGCUUUGUCAUAUAAGAAUGGAUAAUUUGCUACAAGCUCGAAAUGGCAAAACCAAUUACCUAAUGUUGCUACUGUACUGACUAAUCAUCUUACUCAUGAAACUAUCUACACCUUGCAGAGAACUUUAAGAAAACCACUGGGCAUGGUGGGUCGUGCCUAUAAUCUCAGAAUUUUGGAAGACCAAGGUGGGGGCAUCCCUUGAAGCCAGGAGUUUGAGACCAGCCUAGGCAACACAGCAAGAUACUGUCUCUACAUAAAACAAAAAAUAAGAAAAGUUAGCCAGGCAUGGUGGCUAUGCCUGUAGUCCUAGCUACUUGGGAGGCUGAGGCAGGAGGAUCCUUGCAGUGAGCACUCCAGCCUGGGUGAUGGAGCGAGACCCUGUCUCAAGAAAGAAAGAAAGAAGGGAAGAAAGGAAGAAAGGAAGGAAGGAAGGAAGAAAGGAAGAAAGGAAGGAAGGAAGAAGGAAGGAAGGAAGAAAAAGAAAGAAAGAAAGAAAGAAAGAAAGAAAGAAAGAAAGAAAGAAAGAAAGAAAGAAAAACCUUGCAGUAUACAUUUUCAUAAGCCCAAAAGUUACUUCCUUCCAUUUAUUGCAAGGCUAUAAGAACCCAAAUGUCUGCCUGUUAUGAUUUUAACCAGCACUUUUCUACAAGUGAGUAUGUUCAAGAACCCCUAAAAAGACUGUAAUAAUCAGAUAUCAAGCACCUAUAUGAGGUAGCAGGAGGAAGAAAGAGGCAGUACAAACAACAAUCCACACAUAAUCCAGUAAUGCAAGCUCUGAAAUUCCAACACUUCAUUUCAACUGCUUCCCCCAAAAUUCCAUACCAUGUUCUUGCUUUUGGAUAAAGUCAGUGACAAGAAACGAGAUGGUCAUACAGCAGCAGCAAAAAUAUAAUCAGGAAAUAUAAUGACUUUGUAAUAUCCCUGUGCGAAAGAAAUAAACCUGAGUAGUGAGAGGAACAUGGGUCUUGGAUUAGGAUAUAGAACAAUGUUUAAACCCUGGUUGGCCAGGUAUAAGCUAUGUAAUAACCUUGGGCAAUUCACCUAAUUCCUCUGAGUCUUAAUUUCCUCAUUUCUUAUAUGUGGUAAUUGUGCCUAAUUGAGAAGAUGCACAAUAGAAAUUCAAUAGUAGCUCUAAUUACCAUGCAACAACCUUCCUGGUCCACUGUGUGGGUUUCUUUCAGGCUGUGAGUAAGUGGACAUGGAUUUCUGUAGCUAGUCUCUGCCAGAGGAUAUGAGUAUUUCAAGAAGCAGGAAGGGCUGGAGGUGUGUGAAGGCUCCCCCGCUCCUGCACUUCAUUUGUACACUCUCAUCAUCACUGGAGGAGUCUCCUGGCUGCAGUUGAGCCUUCGAUGAGAUGAUUUGCAUCACUCACAUUCCAAGCUGGGUGGGGGAAGCCCAGACAUUCUCGCUCUGCCCCUCAACCAGCUUGGUGCCAGAUUUCCUCUCGCUUCACCCCCCCAGGAGGUCAUCUAGGGAGCAGGCAUCACACAGUAGCAACAGGCCUUGCGGAUGAUGACAUCAUAGGCUAUUUUGCCCACUCUGUUUAUCUCGCACUGAGAGGCAGGAGAGCACAGUAAGGAGCACAGGUUUUUUGGUUUGGUUUUGUGGGUUUUGUGGGGGUUUUUUGUUUUUUGUUUUUUUUUUUUUUUUUGAGAUAGACUAUCACUCUGUCACCCAGGCUGGAGUGCAGUGGCACGAUCUCAGCUCACUGCAACCUCCACCUCCGGGAUUCAGGUGAUUCUCGUGCCUCAGCCUCCCAAGUAGCUGGGAUUACAGGAGCACACCACCAUGACUGGCUAAUAUUUGCAUUUUUAAUAGAAACAGGGUUUUGCCAUAUUGGCCAGGCUGGUCUCAAACUCCUGACCUCAAGUGAUCCUCCUGCCUUGGCCUUGCAAAGUGCUGUGAUUACAGGCGUGAGCCACUGCACCUGGCAAAGAGCACAGGUUUUGAAGUCAAACAGACCUAUCUUCAAAGUAUGUUUCUGUCCUGUGCCACAUCUAAACCUUAAUUCCCUAAGCUGUAAAAGAUGAUCAAAUAGGCCAGGCACGGUGGCUCACACCUGUAAUCCCAGCACUGUGGGAGGCCGAGGCGGGCAGAUCACCUGAGGUCAGGAGUUCCAGACCAGCCUGGCCAACAUGAUGAAACCCCAUCUCUAUUAAAAAUAAGAAAAUUAGCCGGGCAUGGUGACAUAUGCCUAUAAUCCCAGUUACUCCAGAGGCUGAGGCAGGAGAAUCACUUGAACCUGGGUGGCAGAGGUUGCGGUGAGCUGAGAUUGUGCCACUGCACUCCAGCCUGGAUGACAGAGUAAGACUCCAUCUCGAAAAGAAAAAAAGAAACCCCACUGCCACCUCUGAAAGAUCUUCGGUGAUUUGGGCCAUUCAUUCAUUCCUCAGACUUAACCACCAACUGCACACCACACCCUGGGGAUACGAAUAAGACAUGAACUCCACCUUCAAAACACAUUCAGCCUGCUGAGAGAGAUAUAAACAAACCACAGCAAAUAUAAUGCACAAUAUCAUAUAACAGAGGUAGAGAGAAUGGAGGUCAAAAGGAGAAAGUAAUUGAAAAAAAGGCAAUUUUUGGAAGGCUUCACAGAAGCAGUGACACUAAAGGUAGCAUCUUUUUUUUUUUUUUUUUUUUUUUUUGUGAGGCAGCGUUUCACUCUCUUGCCCAGGCUGGAGUGCAGUGACCCAAUCUCAGCUCACUGCAACCUCCGCCUCCCAGGUUCAAACAAUUCUCCUGUCUCAGCCUCCUAAGUAGCUGGGACUACAGGUGCACGCCACCAUGCCAGCUAAUUUUUGUAUUUUUAGUAGAGAUAGGGUUUUACCAUAUUGGUCAAGCUGGUCUCGAAUUCCUGAUCUCAGGUGAUCCACCCACCUUGGCCUCCCAAAGUGCUGGGAUUACAGGCAUGAGCCACCUCGCCCAGCCUAAAGCUAGCAUCUUAAAUGUAGAUGAAAAUCUGUGAUGUUCAGUAUGUUCACUCUACUUUUUUUUUCAAAAGAUGAAUUACCUUUUCAUUAAUGUUUCCCUUUUUUUUUUUUUUUUGAGCUGGAGUCUUGCUCUGUUGCCCAAGCUGGCGUACAAUGGCGUGAUCUCAGCUCACCGCAACCUCCGCCUCCCAUGUUCACGUGAUUCUCCUGCCUCAGUCUCCCAAGUGGCUGGGAUUACAGGUGUGCACCACCACACCCAGCUAAUUUUUGUACCUUUAGUAGAGACAGGGUUUCACCAUGUUGGUCAGGCUGGUCUCAAACUCUUGACCUCAAGUGAUCCUCCUGCCUCAGCCUCCCAAAGUGCUGGGAUUACAGACAUGAGCCACCAUGCCCAGCCAAAAGAUGAACUACCUUUUUAAAAAAGCAUAGGAUUGUCGCCAGGCGGAGUGGCUCAUGCCUGUAAUACCAGCAUUUUGCGAGGCUGAGGCGGACGGAUGACAAGGUCAGGACAUUGAAACCAUCCUGGCUAACACCGUGAAACCCUGCCUCUAGUAAAAAUACAAAAAAUUAGCCGGGCAUGUGGCGGGCGCCUACAGUCCCAGCUAUUCGGGAGGCUGAGGCAGGAGAAUGGUGUGAACCCCGGAGGCAGAGCUUGCAGUGAGCCGAGAUGGCGCCACUGCACUCCAGCCUUGGCGACAGUGCGAGACUCCGUCUCAAAAAGAAAAAAAAAGGCAUAGGAUUAUGUAUCUAAUUUACCUACUAUUCCAUUACUAUUUUACAUCCUAUUUCUGAAUUUCUGUGUCUUCCGCCACUUAUCUUGACUUAAUUUUUUUCUUUUAAGUAACUAGUCAUAUUGUUGCACUAUCCACAUAAAAAUUACUUCCAAAGACUUGUGAUAGAACCCAGUGAUGUCACACCUAGAUAUAUAACUCUCACAAGGAGACACAUACAAAAACAUUUAUCAUGCAUUGUUUGUAAGGGAAAAAUAAUGGAAACAAUUUAAAGAUCUAUCAACAAAAGAAUGAAUAAACUGUGGUCUUUUUAUACAAUGAAAUACUAUCUAGCACUUUAAAUAAACUAGAAGAUGUGUAUUGGCCUGACGCAGUGGCUCACACCUGUAAUCCCAGCACUUUGGGAGGCUGAGGAGGGCGGAUCACUUGAGACCAGAAGUUCAAGACCAGCCUGGCCAACAUGGCAAAACCCAUCUUUACUAAAAAUACAAAAAUUAGCAGAGCGUGGUGGCAAGCGCCUGUAAUCCAGCUACUCGGGAGGCUGAGGCAGGAGAAUCGCUUCAACCUGGGAGGCAGAGGCUGCAGUGAGCCAAGAUCGUGCCACUGCACUCCAGCCUGAGAGACAGAGUGAGAAUCCAUCUCAAAAAAAAAAGAAAAAAAAAAAAAAGAUGUGUAUUAGGGGCCAACCAUGGUGGCUCACACCUGAAAUCCCAGCACUUUGGGAGGCUGAGACAGGUGGCUCACUUGAGCUAAGGAGGUCAUGACUAGUCUGGGCAACAUGUGAAACCCUGUUUCUACAAAAAAUACAAAAAUUAGCUAGGCAUGGCGGCGUGUGCCCGUAGGCCCAGCUACUUGCAGGGCUGAGGCAGGAAGAUUGCUUCAGCCCAGGAGGUCAAGGCUUCAGUGAGUCAUGAUCACACCAUUGCACUCCAGCCUGGUGAACAGAGUGAGACUGUUUAGAAAAAAAAAAAAAAGAUGAGUAUUAAUACAUGUUGAGUGAGAGAUUAAGAAGAAAGCGCAUAAUAUAUCAUUUAAUGAUGAAAAACUUGCAAAUCAACUUUAUGUCUUAUGGAUACAUAUAUAGUAUAAAUAUAAAAAAUAGCUGGGUGUGGUGGUGUGUGCCUAUAGACCCAGCUACUUGGGAGGCUGAGGCGGGAGGAUUGCUUGAGCCCACUAGUUCUGGGCAUCAUAUAGUGACCUCCCAGGAGCAGAGGGCUACCUGGUUGCCUAAGGAAAGGUGAACCCACCUGUGUGGGAAGCAGAGCAGGUCAAAACUCCUGUGCUGAUCAUAGUGGAUUGCACCUGUGAAUAGGCACUGCCCUUCACCCUGGGCAACACAGGAAGACUCCAGCUCUUAUUAAAAAAAAUUUUAAAUAAUAUAAAAAUACACAGAGGAAUUAAAACUCUAAAUUCAGGGUAGUUGUCACCCUGCAGAUCACAAGAGAGGAAUGAGAUAGAUUGGUUUCAGGGGUUUUAACUACAUCUAUAUGAUUUUAACUUUGUCAGCACUUCUGGUGGCUUGUUGAGGAAAAAAAGGUUUUAACUUGGAAGAAACAGAGGAAAGGGGAAAAAAGGGAGGGAGGAAGAGGGCAAAAGGGGGAGGGAGGGAAAAAGGGAGAUCUGAAGCAAAUAUGGCAAAAUUUUAUUACAUGAAAUACUAUCUAGCACUUAGGGCUGGAUUGUAGAUAGAUGAUUUUUUGUCAUAUUAUUUUGUAUGCUUUUCUGUCUGUUUGAAAUAUUCUAUUGUAAAUAGAUGUGCUAAUCUUUAUAAUAAUAAUUCAUGGUAUUAUUCACCAAAUUUAACAGCCUAACAAAAGUUUAGAAGUAAAAAAUUAGCAAGUGGCACAUAUUUUCCAGUUCUACUAGUAAAGAAACUUGUUUGCAUCUGGGGAAGAUAAUAUUUGCGGUGUAACUUCCCCACUCCCUUUCCAGCACAUCCUUAAAGGACUCAAAUGGAAUGUCGUCCUAUGACAAAGAAAAGUGCUUGUGCAUAUUAACUCCUCUGCUGCUGAACCAAUUUGUGACAGGAUGAAAGCGCUACUAGGAAACAAAGUGAAGAAGGAUGGACACUCUAUUCAGUAUUUAUAAAUUUCUAGGUUUUUCCUUUUCAAGCCCCCUUAGAAUCUUUACGAAAAAGGUCAACAGUUUAGCAUGCCUCCAAAUGAAAA